Molecule: ribosomal RNA, 253 nt
Filed under: uncultured bacterium
Lineage: Bacteria
Description: partial 16S ribosomal RNA
Rfam family: Bacterial small subunit ribosomal RNA
Source: RNAcentral
UACGUAGGGUGCAGGCGUUAAUCGGAAUUACUGGGCGUAAAGCGUGCGCAGGCGGUCUUUUAAGUCAGAUGUGAAAUCCCCGGGCUUAACCUGGGAACUGCGUUUGAAACUGAAAGGCUAGAGUGUGGCAGAGGGGGGUGGAAUUCCACGUGUAGCAGUGAAAUGCGUAGAGAUGUGGAGGAACACCGAUGGCGAAGGCAGCCCCCUGGGCUAACACUGACGCUCAUGCACGAAAGCGUGGGGAGCAAACAGG